This 1577-nucleotide ribosomal RNA is filed under the name human gut metagenome. RNAcentral describes it as "bacterial LSU rRNA". It matches the Rfam family "Bacterial large subunit ribosomal RNA", at positions 774 to 2461 of the family's 2925-position model. The record is from RNAcentral.
CCGCACCCAUAUCUGUUGAAAAAGAUAGGGAUGACUUGUGGCUAGGGGUGAAAGGCCAAUCAAACUCGGAAAUAGCUGGUUCUCCGCGAAAACUAUUUAGGUAGUGCGGUGAGCGGACACCUUGAGGGGUAGAGCACUGAAAGAGCUAAGGGGGAGCGAUCCUUACUAAACUUUAUCAAACUCCGAAUACUCAAGAGUGAUACUCACCAGACAGACAUUAGGUGCUAAGGUCUAGUGUCGAGAGGGAAAGAGCCCAGACCGUCAAUUAAGGUCCCAAAAUUAUGGCUAAGUGGUAAAGGAAGUGAAUUGUCCAAAACAGUCAGGAGGUUGGCUUAGAAGCAGCCAUCCUUUAAAGAAAGCGUAAUAGCUCACUGAUCUAAACAAGACGAUUUGCGCCGAAGAUGUAACGGGGCUAAAGCCAUAUACCGAAAUUACGGAUUUACACGUAAGUGUAAGUGGUAGCGGAGCGUUCUGUAGGCCUGCGAAGGUGAACCGUAAGGUUUGCUGGAGGUAUCAGAAGUGAGAAUGCUGACAUGAGUAGCGAAAAGAAGAGUGAGAGACUCUUCCGCUGAAAGUCCAAGGUUUCCUGCGUAAAGCUAAUCUGCGCAGGGUUAGUCGGCCCCUAAGGCGAGGCAGAGAUGCGUAGUCGAUGGGAAUCAGGUUAAUAUUCCUGAACCAACUAGGAAGUGACGGAUUCAGUAAAUUGUAUGUCCUUAUUGGAUUGGAUAUGCAGUGAAUGAGUUCCAGGAAAUAGCCCUAGUAUAGACCGUACCCCAAACCGACACAGGUGGACAGGUAGAGAAUACCAAAGCGCUUGAGAGAACUAUGUUGAAGGAACUAGGCAAAAUACUUGCGUAACUUCGGGAUAAGCAAGCCCCAUUUUAAGGCAACUUAAGGUGGGGGGCACAUACUAGGGGGUAGCGACUGUUUACUAAAAACACAGGACUCUGCUAAAUUGAAAGAUGAAGUAUAGGGUCUGACGCCUGCCCGGUGCUGGAAGGUUAAGGAGAGAUGUGAGAGCAUUGAACUGAAGCCCCAGUAAACGGCGGCCGUAACUAUAACGGUCCUAAGGUAGCGAAAUUCCUUGUCGGGUAAGUUCCGACCUGCACGAAUGGCGUAACGACUUCCCCGCUGUCUCCAACAUAGACUCAGCGAAAUUGAAUUCUGAGUUAAGAUGCUCAGUACCCGCGGUUAGACGGAAAGACCCCGUGAACCUUUACUAUAGCUUUGCAGUGGUAUUAGGUGACAAAUGUGUAGGAUAGGUGGGAUGCUAUGAAGUUAUGACGCCAGUUGUAAUGGAGCAGACGUUGAAAUACCACCCUUUUGUUAUUUGAUAUCUAACCUGCUUCCCUGAACGGGAAGAGGGACCCUGCAUGGUGGGUAGUUUGACUGGGGCGGUCGCCUCCCAAAGAGUAACGGAGGCGCGCAAAGGUUGGCUCAGACUGGUCGGAAAUCAGUCGUCGAGUGCAAUGGCAUAAGCCAGCCUGACUGCGAGAGAGACAUUUCGAGCAGAGACGAAAGUCGGUCAUAGUGAUCCGGUGGUCCCGAGUGGAAGGGCCAUCGCUCAACGGAUAAAA